AUUGAACGUUGGCGGCAGGCCUAACACAUGCAAGUCGCGCGCGCCGCGGCUCGGUGUGUAAUGUCUUGGCAUCUGCCUGUUGGAGGGGGAUCACUACUGGAAACGGUAGCUAAUACCGAAUACCAUCAGAUGUGCCCAGAUGGGAUUAGCUAGUAGGUGGGGUAAUGGGUCACCUAGGCGAAUAUCCCUAGCUGGUCUGAGAGGAUGACCAUCCACACUGGACAUGAGACACGGUCCAGUCUCCUACGGGAGGCAGCAGUGGGGAAUCUUGGACAAUGGGCGCAAGCCUGAUGCAGCCAUGCCGCGUGUGUGAAGAAGGCCUUCGAGUUGUAAAGCACUGUCGGCGGGGAGACGUUACUAGCAGAGGACGCACCGACAAACUUCGUACCAGCAGCCGCGGUAAUAC
RNAcentral lists this ribosomal RNA (406 nucleotides) under uncultured bacterium. Its description in RNAcentral is "partial 16S ribosomal RNA". It matches the Rfam family "Bacterial small subunit ribosomal RNA", at positions 30 to 526 of the family's 1533-position model. The record is from RNAcentral.